AGCAUUAUUCAUUAGAGGAAAUUAGGCCCAUUACUUUUAAAAAUGAACUAAUUAGUUUAAUACGCUUUAACCAAAUUAAAACCUCUAAUAACCGUAAAUAAUACGCCCCCAAAUUCAUCCAAAGCCCCGAACCAAUAGAUUUCAAAGAGAAAUCCCCAAUUCUUCCAAAUUCACGAUCCCAUAAUUCUUGAUAGGUGGGGAGGAGGGCUGGAGAUGUUUAGAUGGUUGAUAGUGGCGCGUAUGGUUGACAACUACUAGAUACGACGGUUAGGAAUUGGUAAAGGAGCCGGUGGCAUGGAUUGGAUGGUGGAGGAGUUGAUAAAGGGAUAGAAUAUCGGUGGCUAGCAUGGCUAGAAAGAGCAGCAAAUUUAGACACAUUGUGAAACCGAUAUUCAAGAUUUUUGCUAUUUUUCACGGCGAAUUUCUUCAGUUUUUGCAGAUGAUCUUUCAACUUGUACACACACUCCAACGAGAGAGUGUGACUUUGGUGGUAUACAAUUAUCAAUAAGUAUGUUUGGUGGAUUAAGUAUAAUAUUGUCUGGAUGUUAUGAAUGGGUUUUGGACAGUGUGUGGCUGGUCCACUAAUUGCUGCUUCGUCCAUUCAGGUUUUCAAUUGUUAAGGACUACUUUUUUACUGCAUCUAUCUAUUGUAUAUAAUGUUUUUGUAAUUAAUACUUGAUGCCUGUGUUUGGUUUUGUAUCUCUAAUUGUAGAUGAUAGGCUUAUUUUAAGGCUUAUGACCGUGUAAAAAAAAAUAAAAAAUCAAUCAACUCUAUGGAGCUUUCAUUUGCUCUGCAAAUGAGAGCACAGGUGGUGCAAUUGGUGCUAGUAACUAACCAUGGAAUGUGGCUUUUAGUGAAUUCUUUGGUGUCCUGCAAAUGCACUAGCUGAUAACAAGUAUAUCCCACAAGGCACGACUGGCAUGGCUAUAAUUGAUGUUUUCAUGAAAAUUGUAAUAUGAGAACUCUGUAUUCUUAUUAUCAUUGUAAGGACCAUAAGAUACUUCCUACCUUGACUACAAUACUUUAGGAAACCACCUACCACAGUUAGAAGUUCAAUUCACACGGUGAUUUAGUAUGUGUAAUAGCUUAUUACAUUAGUUGCUGUUGAUAGUAGAAUUUUCCUCCCUUUGCUUUCUUAAUUGAUGAUGUAGCUUUUUGUUGCCAUAAACUCAUGAGUUGAGCUGAAAAUGCUCAAGUUAGCGUUGGAGUUGCAGGUGUUAUGUUUUAGUAUUGAAGAUCCAAGUUUUUCUUAUUGCUAUGGACUCCUAACUUGAGCUCACAAGGCUAUGCAUUUUUCAUGGUUACCAAACUAUGAUAGGUUAAGGUUUUGCGCAAGAUGUUGGCCAUGUUUAGUCCAAUUCUCAAUGCCAGCAUAGAAAGAUGAUAGGUACCUGUCAUUUGCUUAAAUAUAUGCAAGACAAAAAUGUUAAAGGAUGAAUUGCAAAAUUCAUAUUUUUGACAUCCAAAUAUAGAGUUGAUUUGGUUACCAUAGUGAAUUAUCUUUUUUGAGUGUUCGUUAUUUUUUUUGAAUUUUUGUCACUUUUUUGAAUAGUUUUUGGCCCUUUUUUUUAAAAAAUAAUUUCUGUUACUUAUUUAAAAUUUUUGUUACCUUUUUAUGUGACGAACAUCCCUUUCAAAAAACUUUUUAUAUAAUUAAUGGGGUAGCUGAGUUAGUAGAUGACGGUGGCGGGAAUUGACUUAAAAUGCUUGACGUUUUGAUUGGUAUUUUCCCGGUAAACUUACUUAACGAUGCUUGGUGGUUAACGAAGAAAGAAGAGGGACGGUGGUUGUCAUUUUUUUAUUUCAGCCAAUUUAUUGAACUAAUUUCAAUGUUUUAAUUGAUGUUUUGUUAUUUUGUUAUUUUUAAUUUUUGUCACUUUUUUGAGUGUAUGUCACUUUUAUGAAUUUCUGUCACUUUUUUUUUUUUUUUUUUUUUUUUUUUUUUUUUUUUUUUUUUUUUUUUUUUUUUUUUUUUUUUUUUUUUUUUUUACUAUUUAUCACCUUUUUUGAAUUACUAUAAUUUUUUUUUAGUACUUGUCACUUUUUUCUAUCACUUUCUUGAAAUUUUUAUCACUUUUUUAAUAAAAGUGACAUUGUAUGUCUUUUUAAAUAAAAAAGUGAGACUUAACUUUAAAAAAAAAAAAAAAGAGACGUUGUGCAUAAAAAGUUACAUUAUGUCACAUUUUUCAUAUGAUUUUUCUUAAGAUCCCUAAUUUUAAGGAUACUUUUACAAGUUGCCCUUGUUCUAAUUAGUGUUUUGUCACCUUUUGAGUGCUUGUGUAAUUUUUUUGAAUUAAUGUCACUUUUUUCUAUAUUUAUCACUUUAUUUCUUGAAUUUUGUCAAUUUUUAGUUUUCGUCACUUUUUUCAGUCGCCUUCUUUAUUUUUAUCACUUUUUUAAACAAACAUCGCUCUUUAAUAAAAGACACACUAUAUGUUAUUUUUCAAUAAAAAAAAAGUGACAUCGUGUCACUUUUUUUUAUUAAAAAGUGACAUUGUGCCACUAUUUAAUAUUAAACAAUAUUUUUUAAUUCCAAAAACUUUUCGUAUGAUUUUUCAAAAGACAACUAGUUUUAAAAGUAUUUUUGUAAGUUGUCCUUUAAUAAUUUUCAUCAAUUUAUAGGAUGGUAGAUGAUAUGGUCCUUUAUGUUGGGCCUGACUUGAAUGGCCAGAGUUGAUCCAAUUUCGCCACUCCGCAGGCCCAACAUAACUGAAAAGUUUAAUUUAGAACCAAUACUCUGUGCGCAGUAAGAAGAAUCGAAAAAAAAAAAAAAAAAAUCCAUGCUUUGUUGAGAUUUUACAGUUUAAAAAUUAGACUACUGCACUAUCAUUUAGCAUUUACCGCUUGAACUAGUUUCAACUUGCCUCUUUCUCUUUAUAUUCGUCAAUGAAUUGAAUUGCGGUGAUAAACUUGAAUCCCAGAAAUUUUGAAGGUCUCGAAUUUCAGCAUUUUACUGACUCGUGUCGAUAAGACAGCAAUUCAUCUCCUUUUAUGGAUUUCCAGUGUGAAAUUGAACUCUUAGGUCCAUAGUUUGUAACCUAAAUCCUCAAAUCUGUUCCAGAUUUGCAGAACAUUGAAAUAUUGAAGGAAUAACUAAGAAACAAAAAUCAAGCGCACACCCGAAGAGAAAGAUAGCUAGCUUAUGAAGUCCCCGCAAUAAAGGUAAUGGCUUUGAGAUUCACAGAGAAAGCAAGGGCAAGAAUUGAGAAGGCAGAAGGAGAAUGCUUAACUUUUGAUCAGCUAGCUCAGAGCUCCUCUUGAACGGUAGUGAAUAUUCCAGUCUUUUCUGUUAAUUUCUUUUUCUUGAUAAUUUUAUUGUUGCUAAAGUUUGAUAUAGUUGGUAGUAUAGAACGGUGGAAAUGAGAUUUUAAACCAAUAACAUGAAUAUCAUUUUGUCAGUGAUUUCAAUUAUGCAAUGAUUGUUGUGUUCACUACUUUGAUAGUUUGAUUCAUUGUUUCCUUUGAACUAGUAUUUAAGGUUUGAUAUGGAUUCUAUUACUCACAAAAAUUGCUUUGUUAAAGAUUUUUUGUUUUUUUUUUUUUUUUUUUUGCUCAAUGUUCAACUAUUUUGGUCUUGCUCACAGCUAUGAUUCUGCUGGUAAAUUUUGCCUUUUCUAUUUGUGCUACAAAAAUCUUGUGCUGUUACAAAACCCAAAAUAGCUAACUGUGUUGUUUUGAUGCAUGUACUUCUUAGAGGACCCGUGAAGUCUUGUGAGGCAGCGAAGCACUUUGGUCCAACUCCUAGUGUUCCACACAGCCACACCAAGCUGAAUGUGCAAGCCAAGGGUAGGAAAUUUGAGCGUGCUAGAGGUAGAAGAAGCAGCAGAGGUUUUAAGGUCACAAUCAUUAGUUAUUGCCAGGUUGAUGGCUGUUUUGUUUAUAUUUUAUCAUAUUUUCUAUGAAAGGUUUUGUCCUACUAUGUAUUCCCCGCCCCGAUUCUUUUCUUGUGCUCUCUCAGCUUUUUUUUUUUUUUUUUUUUCUCUUCGAUGCGAUUGUUAUCAUAUUUGCUACUAUAAUGUUACUUGUGAAUUUCUAUCAUG
Molecule: long non-coding RNA, 4041 nt
Filed under: Olea europaea subsp. europaea
Lineage: Eukaryota; Viridiplantae; Streptophyta; Magnoliopsida; Lamiales; Oleaceae
Source: RNAcentral